RNAcentral lists this long non-coding RNA (1300 nucleotides) under Homo sapiens (human). RNAcentral's name for it is "non-protein coding lnc-RAD54L2-5:1". The record is from RNAcentral. Lineage: Eukaryota; Metazoa; Chordata; Mammalia; Primates; Hominidae.
AGUGUCUUGUUCUGACCUGUGUGCGCAAAGAGCCUCUGUUUUAUUUGGCCAUUUGCCUUAUCUUACCUAGAACAUACCGUGAUCUAAGAAAAUAUUUCUCAUAAACAUAUCAGAAAUCACAGCACUCAUUAAAUCAGAAGGCACUGGUUGUUUUUUGUUUGUUUUGUUUUGUUUUUUUGAGACAGAGUCUCGCUCUGUUGCCCAGGCUGGAGUGCAGUGACGAUCUCAGCUCACUAUGACCUCCGCCUCCCGGGCUCAAACAGUCCUCCCACCUCAGCCUCCAGCUGAGACUACAGGCGCAUGCCACCACACCCAGCCAAUUUUUGUUUCUGUUUUGUAUGUGCGUGUUUGGUAGAGACAUGGUUUUGCCGUGUUGGCCAGGCUGUUCUCGAACUCCUGGGCUGAGUUCUCCCAGCCUCUUUUUUCUCUGUCUUUUUUUUUUUUUUUUUUUGACAGGGUCUCGCUCUGUCAUCCACGCUGGAGUGCAGUGGCGCGAUCACAGCUCACUACAGCCUCAAUCAACCUCCUGGGCUCAAGCUAUCUUCUCACCUCAGCCUCCCAAGUAGCCGGGGCUACAGGUGUGCACCACCACACCCGGCUAAUUUUUAAAAAUUUUUGUAGAGACGAAGUCCCACUGUGUUGUCCAGGUUGGUCUUGAAUUUCUAGGCUCAAACGAUUCUCCUGCCUCGGCCCCCCGAAGUGUUGGGAUUACAGGCAUGAGCCACUGCACCCAGCCUCUGUCUUUUUGUUCAAGACCUAGCCUGUAAGAAUCAAUAGAUACUUAUUGCCAGGUUAUUAUACGUGAGGCAGAGAAGUGAAAAAUCAAAAGCUCAUAGAUUAAGGCAGGACUGACCUCACAGGUCACUUAAUUCAAUUUCUUCAUGUUGUUGGGAAAAAUGAGGCCCAGAGGGAGUGAGCGACUUGCCCAGCAUCACACAACCAAUUAACAGCAGAACCAGAGGACUCCUUACUCUGACCAGCAGUCCCUCUUGUGGGGCAUAGAAGAUAAACAUGACCCACAGUUGAGCAGAAUCUCGACCUGACAAGAUCCUACCCAGCGUUCAAGGCCUUAUGCAGCUCAUUAUCUCUCCGGGAAUGCUGAGCAAGUCUCCGUGCAUCUCCAUGAGUCUUCACGGCAAUACUGUCACAUGAAUACAAGACACAGCAAGCCUGCUGCUAUGCUCAGGCUCGACAGCUAGACAUCUCUGGACUCCGUCUCACCUUGCUCUGCCUGUUCCACCCCCUGCUCCAUGGUGUGCCCAAGAAAGAGGAAGCCCCAUCUGAAAGAGUGAGGAGUGCU